This 484-nucleotide ribosomal RNA is filed under the name uncultured bacterium. RNAcentral describes it as "partial 16S ribosomal RNA". It matches the Rfam family "Bacterial small subunit ribosomal RNA", at positions 30 to 507 of the family's 1533-position model. The record is from RNAcentral.
AUUGAACGCUGGCGGCAGGCCUAACACAUGCAAGUCGAGCGGAUGAAGGGAGCUUGCUCCUGGAUUCAGCGGCGGACGGGUGAGUAAUGCCUAGGAAUCUGCCUGGUAGUGGGGGAUAACGUCCGGAAACGGGCGCUAAUACCGCAUACGUCCUGAGGGAGAAAGUGGGGGAUCUUCGGACCUCACGCUAUCAGAUGAGCCUAGGUCGGAUUAGCUAGUUGGUGGGGUAAAGGCCUACCAAGGCGACGAUCCGUAACUGGUCUGAGGGGAUGAUCAGUCACACUGGAACUGAGACACGGUCCCGACUCCUACGAGAGGCAGCAGUGGGGAAUAUUGGACAAUGGGCGAGAGCCUGAUCCAGCCAUGCCGCGUGUGUGAAGAAGGUCUUCGGAUUGUAAAGCACUUUAAGUUGGGAGGAAGGGCAGUAAGUUAAUACCUUGCUGUUUUGACGUUACCAACAGAAUAAGCACCGGCUAACUUCGUG